Molecule: ribosomal RNA, 465 nt
Filed under: Vreelandella stevensii
Lineage: Bacteria; Pseudomonadati; Pseudomonadota; Gammaproteobacteria; Oceanospirillales; Halomonadaceae
Description: partial 16S ribosomal RNA
Rfam family: Bacterial small subunit ribosomal RNA
Source: RNAcentral
CCUACGGGAGGCAGCAGUGGGGAAUAUUGGACAAUGGGGGCAACCCUGAUCCAGCCAUGCCGCGUGUGUGAAGAAGGCCCUCGGGUUGUAAAGCACUUUCAGUGAGGAAGAACGCCUGGUGGUUAAUACCCAUCAGGAAAGACAUCACUCACAGAAGAAGCACCGGCUAACUCCGUGCCAGCAGCCGCGGUAAUACGGAGGGUGCGAGCGUUAAUCGGAAUUACUGGGCGUAAAGCGCGCGUAGGUGGCUUGAUAAGCCGGUUGUGAAAGCCCCGGGCUCAACCUGGGAACGGCAUCCGGAACUGUCAAGCUAGAGUGCAGGAGAGGAAGGUAGAAUUCCCGGUGUAGCGGUGAAAUGCGUAGAGAUCGGGAGGAAUACCAGUGGCGAAGGCGGCCUUCUGGACUGACACUGACACUGAGGUGCGAAAGCGUUGGUAGCAAACAGGAUUAGAUACCCCAGUAGUC